GCUCGGUCAGCCAGCGUCUGGGAUGGGAGCGCUCCUGCAUUUUACAUGACUGCGGGGCCUGUUCCUUGCGCCUGUCUGGUCGCGUCACAUCAUGGAGGGUUUCUCGGGGCGGCCGGCCGCCUCUGAGCACAGCCAGGGUGGUGUUUGCAGCACAGCUGCUGCCUAGGCCUCGCUGCGGAGGUGCUGGGCCACGGCCCCGUGGAGGCAGAGCCGCAGGGCCAUCGACAUGUCCUUUGAAAACGGGCAUUUCCCCAACUCAUGCAGGUGGAGGGGAGAGCGAAGCCAAAUGGGACACCGGCCCCCACACACUGCCCCGGCUCCUGCAUUUCCGGAGAUGGAAACCUGGAGAGCAGCUGGGGCAUCAGACACACCGUGGGGUCAUAGCACAGACCUGGAUUUCCUAUUUCCAAAUCGUGAGGAUAAUGAACAUUUUGUUUCUUAGGAUCUUGAAAACGUGGGUUGGACUGCGUCACCCCGACCCCUGCCUCAAAGCCCCUCCGUGGUUGCCUACAGCACAGCUUGAAGCCCCUUGGUUCUGCUUCCCGGGCCUGCAGCGCUGGCCCCAGCCUGGCCGAGCGAGCAUUUGUUCACCCAAGACCUUUCCCCUCCUGCCCUCGUGGAGCCUCCACAAGGAGUAAACAACCACUUCUGGUCCCUCAAAGCAUCAACUCUGUGCCUUGCAGACAGCGGACACGUAACACAGCCACGCGGCGUGAACAUGAGCAGACUUCUUUUUUCCAGGAUGUGCACGGUUUCCACGACAAUGCCCACUGCACGCCUUAUGGCCUCACCAGAGACGUAAAGCAGAUGCCAAGAAACUUCCCCCCAAAAUGGGCUGGCUUGCCAAGCCCAGGACCGCCUGUCCAGCUGGGGCUGGGGGCAAGGAUCCCAUUUUCUGUGACUCUCUUUGCUCUGAUGGUCAGGUUCACCGGCCGUACGUGUAAUCUGAAGCAUUCGGUAGCGAUCUAAUUAAAUGUUAACACAUCAUUAAAGUGAUUUGCGAU
This 1004-nucleotide long non-coding RNA is filed under the name Homo sapiens (human). RNAcentral describes it as "HSALNT0318146". The record is from RNAcentral. Lineage: Eukaryota; Metazoa; Chordata; Mammalia; Primates; Hominidae.